Molecule: RNA transcript, 724 nt
Organism: Asterias rubens (European starfish)
Lineage: Eukaryota; Metazoa; Echinodermata; Asteroidea; Forcipulatida; Asteriidae
Exons: 3
Source: RefSeq, a predicted model, not a curated record
GUUGCAAAAGACCAUCACCGAUGAUUAAAUGCCUCUUUGGCGUUCCAUAUUUGGCGUUCCAUAAUAGAGGACUUGCCUGGCUGAGAAUGAACAAACGUUAACUUACAUAAGCAACAUUUUUAGUUUCCCUUUUCAAAUUUCAAUAUCAACUCAAAAAAGUUUUAUGAACUAACGUACUGCGGAGUACAUGUAUGUUGUACUGCUGUACGUAGUAUAAAAUUGCUAUUGCUAUCACUACUUUUAAGUAAAUACACCACCAUACACGAGCAACCGGUUUCUGCUGAGCCAGUCACCAGUGCAGUGACGGCAAGUUAUGAGCAAUUCAGAAAUUAGCUGUUGACGUGCAUGUACACAGGCCUACAUACAUCCCAUACAACUUUCACCAUGGACUCGACAAAGAUGAAGACACCACACAUCCUGUGUACAUCGAAAUGGAUGAAAAAUCGACACAUGUGUCUACAGAGUUUAAAGUAGUUGCAGAAGGCGAGGUAGUUUCUGUUGUUGAUGAUGUAACAACAGCAGUCGCGUGCUACAUUUCCUCGUUUUUUGUAUUUCACCUGCAGUACAUCCCAGAACUAGUGAAGACAAUUGCUUUUUAUCAAUAUGGUGUUCUUAAGAUUGACGACCAGACUGGUAUUCAUAGUUCAUAUUCUUUGGAUUCCGUGACCAUUUAUUUGCUACCUUUUUUUUUCGAUGGAUUUGACGUCAGGAACCAUUUAAAAAA